Molecule: ribosomal RNA, 253 nt
Filed under: uncultured bacterium
Lineage: Bacteria
Description: partial 16S ribosomal RNA
Rfam family: Bacterial small subunit ribosomal RNA
Source: RNAcentral
UACGUAGGGUGCAAGCGUUAAUCGGAAUUACUGGGCGUAAAGCGUGCGCAGGCGGUUAUGUAAGACAGGGGUGAAAUCCCCGGGCUUAACCUGGGAACUGCAUUUGUGACUGCAUAGCUAGAGUACGGUAGAGGGGGAUGGAAUUCCGCGUGUAGCAGUGAAAUGCGUAGAGAUGCGGAGGAACACCGAUGGCGAAGGCAGCCCCCUGGGCCAACACUGACGCUCAGGCACGAAAGCGUGGGGAGCAAACAGG